UUCAUCGCUCUGACCAAUGAAGUCCUCUAUUUAACCACAGAACAGUUACAGCAUGGCACAGUAGCAUUAUUAGCUUGUCCCACCCUACCUUACCAGUGUUCCUAGGUAAAAAUCUGACGGGACCACCUGUAAGAGUAAGGCGAUAGUUCAGACUCCAUGCUCAUUCAAUCCUUAUCUCUG
This is an unclassified non-coding RNA of Gopherus agassizii (Agassiz's desert tortoise), 180 nucleotides long. Lineage: Eukaryota; Metazoa; Chordata; Testudines; Testudinidae. The record is from Ensembl.